Molecule: non-coding RNA, 327 nt
Organism: Vicia faba (fava bean)
Lineage: Eukaryota; Viridiplantae; Streptophyta; Magnoliopsida; Fabales; Fabaceae
Source: the annotation of a GenBank genome assembly
AUGUCAUUACAAUUAAUUACAAUGAAAUCAUGGAUAAAAACUGAAUGUCAUUACAAGCCUUCAAAAAAUUGCUUCAUCAUCUACCUUGGUAGAAAACACAAACCACAAACUUUGAAAUCCUCAUUUCUUUCAUCUCAGACCCAGCACUCCUCCAUCAUCUUCCUUAGUAGGACACGCUCGCAGCCUAUACACCUUAUCCGCCUACGUUUAUCCGCCUACGUCUCAGCGCCGCUUCACAAAUUGCCCAAACAACCUUCAUUGUCCAUCAAGGAUGUCUACAAUUCACCCUCUUAUAUAUUCUGUGUUUCUGAUUUGACUCUUUUUUAA